Long non-coding RNA from Manduca sexta (tobacco hornworm), 464 nucleotides. RefSeq lists it as uncharacterized. Lineage: Eukaryota; Metazoa; Arthropoda; Insecta; Lepidoptera; Sphingidae. The record is from RefSeq and is a predicted model, not a curated record. The transcript is spliced from 3 exons.
UCAGUUGUACCUACAGAAGACGACCGAGAGAAUAUAAUUGUUAUAAAUUCAAUAAGUAUAAUCACUUAGUUUAGAAUAAUGAUAUUUCUGGAGCGUUGAAUUUUAGUUCUUAUUGCAUGUGCUAUAAACAUUGAUUAGAAUAUGACAAGUAAAGACUUUUUGAAUAAUCCCCAUCAUUAUAAUGAAAUAUCUAUUUUGGAUGCUGUUGGCUUUGGGCGUGUUAAAAACAGAAUGCUUUCCGGAGCAAAGCUUUUCAUUAUAUUGCCUUAGAAAUCUCCACCAUCUCAUUGAUAUUGCGUGCAAUGUCAAUUCGGAAGGUGACAACUCCGCAGAUAUUUACAAAUCCAUCCGGAGCUACCCUGAAGACUGUUCGAGAGCUUACACGUUGGAACAAUUAAUGGAGUAUUGUUAAAUUAAUAAAGCAAUGACUUGUAAAAGAAUCAAAUAAACAGAUAUAUAUAAAA